Molecule: ribosomal RNA, 614 nt
Filed under: uncultured bacterium
Lineage: Bacteria
Description: bacterial SSU rRNA
Rfam family: Bacterial small subunit ribosomal RNA
Source: RNAcentral
GUCGAACGAAGUAAGUUGCUUCACCAAAUGUUGAAUAACCACCCCAAGCGCAUUUGCCCAAGGGGAAGGUAAAGUACAAAUAUUAAUAAAAUGGUGAAACACUAAGGAUUAAGCAAAGGAAGCAAAUGCGCUUCGCGCUAAUUCCAAGUACCAACACAAAACAAAUUCAAUAUUUGGUGAAGUAACUUACUUAGUGGCGGACGGGUGAGUAACGCGUGAAUAAUCUGCCCCAUACAGGGGGAUAGCCUCGGGAAACCGGGAUUAAAACCGCAUGAUGCUUUUUUAUCGCAUGGUAGAGAAGUCAAAUCGAAUAAGAGGCAUGGGAUGAGUUCGCGUCUGAUUAGCUGGUUGGCGGGGUAAGAGCCCACCAAGGCGACGAUCAGUAGCCGGCCUGAGAGGGUGACCGGCCACACUGGAACUGAGACACGGUCCAGACUCCUACGGGAGGCAGCAGUGGGGAAUAUUGCACAAUGGAGGGAACUCUGAUGCAGCGACGCCGCGUGAGUGAAGAAGGUCUUCGGAUCGUAAAACUCUGUCCUUGGUGACGAAGAAAAUGACGGUAGCCAAGGAGGAAGCCCCGGCUAACUACGUGCCAGCAGCCGCGGUAAUACGUA